UAGGGAAUAUUGGACAAUGGGGGCAACCCUGAUCCAGCAAUGCCGCGUGAGUGAUGAAGGCCUUAGGGUUGUAAAGCUCUUUUACCAGAGAUGAUAAUGACAGUAUCUGGGGAAUAAGCCCCGGCUAACUCCGUGCCAGCAGCCGCGGUAAUACGGAGGGGGCUAGCGUUGUUCGGAAUUACUGGGCGUAAAGCGCACGUAGGCGGCGAUUUAAGUCAGAGGUGAAAGCCCGGGGCUCAACCCCGGAACUGCCUUUGAGACUGGAUUGCUUGAAUCCGGGAGAGGUGAGUGGAAUUCCGAGUGUAGAGGUGAAAUUCGUAGAUAUUCGGAAGAACACCAGUGGCGAAGGCGGCUCACUGGACCGGCAUUGACGCUGAGGUGCGAAAGCGUGGGGAGCAAACA
RNAcentral lists this ribosomal RNA (402 nucleotides) under uncultured bacterium. RNAcentral's name for it is "bacterial SSU rRNA". It matches the Rfam family "Bacterial small subunit ribosomal RNA", at positions 355 to 774 of the family's 1533-position model. RNAcentral also lists the same sequence under 1 other name. The record is from RNAcentral.